UUUUUGUCAGGAUGAACGCUAGCGGGAGGCCUAACACAUGCAAGCCGAGCGGUAUAGAUCUUUCGGGAUCUAGAGAGCGGCGUACGGGUGCGGAACACGUGUGCAACCUGCCUUUAUCUGGGGGAUAGCCUUUCGAAAGGGAGAUUAAUACCCCAUAAUAUAUCAGAUGGCAUCAUUUGAUAUUGAAAACUCCGGUGGAUAGAGAUGGGCACGCGCAAGAUUAGAUAGUUGGUGAGGUAACGGCUCACCAAGUCUACGAUCUUUAGGGGGCCUGAGAGGGUGAUCCCCCACACUGGUACUGAGACACGGACCAGACUCCUACGGGAGGCAGCAGUGAGGAAUAUUGGACAAUGGGUGAGAGCCUGAUCCAGCCAUCCCGCGUGAAGGACGACGGCCCUAUGGGUUGUAAACUUCUUUUGUAUAGGGAUAAACCUACCCUCGUGAGGGUAGCUGAAGGUACUAUACGAAUAAGCACCGGCUAACUCCGUGCCAGCAGCCGCGGUAAUACGGAGGGUGCAAGCGUUAUCCGGAUUUAUUGGGUUUAAAGGGUCCGUAGGCGGAUGUGUAAGUCAGUGGUGAAAUCUCACAGCUUAACUGUGAAACUGCCAUUGAUACUGCAUGUCUUGAGUGUUGUUGAAGUAGCUGGAAUAAGUAGUGUAGCGGUGAAAUGCAUAGAUAUUACUUAGAACACCAAUUGCGAAGGCAGGUUACUAAGCAACAACUGACGCUGAUGGACGAAAGCGUGGGGAGCGAACAGGAUUAAU
This 764-nucleotide ribosomal RNA is filed under the name Chryseobacterium sp. CI37. RNAcentral describes it as "bacterial SSU rRNA". It matches the Rfam family "Bacterial small subunit ribosomal RNA", at positions 18 to 782 of the family's 1533-position model. Lineage: Bacteria; Pseudomonadati; Bacteroidota; Flavobacteriia; Flavobacteriales; Weeksellaceae. The record is from RNAcentral.